RNAcentral lists this small RNA (3095 nucleotides) under Pongo abelii (Sumatran orangutan). RNAcentral describes it as "retained intron". Lineage: Eukaryota; Metazoa; Chordata; Mammalia; Primates; Hominidae. The record is from RNAcentral.
AUGGACGAGCAGCCCAGGCUGAUGCAUUCCCAUGCUGGGGUCGGGAUGGCCGGACACCCCGGCCUGUCCCAGCACUUGCAGGAUGGGGCCGGAGGGACCGAGGGGGAGGGCGGGAGGAAGCAGGACAUUGGAGACAUUUUACAGCAAAUUAUGACCAUCACAGACCAGAGUUUGGAUGAGGCGCAGGCCAGAAAACAUGCUUUAAACUGCCACAGAAUGAAGCCUGCCUUGUUUAAUGUGUUGUGUGAAAUCAAAGAAAAAACAGAUUUAUUAAAACAGAUGUGAUCUACCAAUAAUGUUGUACAUCUGAUGGAAAGAAUUGGAAUAUAAUAAUCCUACUUUUCUUUAAUGCAUUACUAAUUCAGACAGGCCCUUCUGGUUGUUCUGAAUUGGAGAGAGAGCAGGCACCUCAGUUGGAUUUGGAAUCACCCACUAUUUUUUGCAGGUAUUUCGAAAAAAGCCUGGUUUUGGUACAGCUCUUCCAGAACCCACGGGAAGAACCUGUUCAUCAGCUCAUCCAUCCAUCUGCUGAGUAAAUGCUUAUUGAGCAUCUACUGAAUGCCAGCACUGUUCUUUGUUCUUGGAAUACAUCAGUAAACAAAAUAGGAAAAACAAAACCAAACCUCCUGACCUCAAGGAGCUUUUAUUUUAGGAAUGAUGUCUUUUAGUCGUUUAAUAGUUGCUGUUUUUAUUAACUCUUAACUCUACCCAUAAACUGGAUACUUUCAACUUUAAAAAAAAAAAAAGGGAAACUAAUUAUGUGCCCUAAGGAUCACCAGGUCUCAGGUUCUACCUUUAUUUUUUUUCUACUGUUAAAUAGCAACCUCCUUCCUCAGGCUGCUGAUGGAAUUGGUAACUGAGUAAUCAGGCCGCUGUGCUUGGGGACAUAAAACCUGCGGCCGCUGCCACUCUAGAGUCCCAUCCUGGGUCAGAGUUCGUCCCUGGGAAACAACUUGUGCUGGCGGAAGGGGUUCUUCCUUUGCUCCCCUCAUACCUCCCUUCCUUGCAGAUGGGAUCCUUGCAAGGGCAGAGCAGCUCUUAGAGGUGUCGGGCCCUUUUCUUUCAUUCUGCUUAUUUUCCCAUAGGCAAGCACUGCUCAGAACCCAGGCUGUGAGUUUUUUGAUGUGGAAAGCUAUUUACUAAGCAUGUCUUGAGGCAGAGGAUGGAAGGAAAGAAAGCCUCCAAGAGAGUGGUGAUUCUACAACCAUCAUCAAAGUUUGGUUGAAAACUCAAAGUUGCUGAUAUGUAUUAGUAAGCAGAUAAUAGUAACAUCCUGUAUUUGCAUGGCCCUGUAUCAGUCAAUAGCAUUCAGAUUUGUGUGGUGGUGUAUAGCUUUCCUUAUUUCAUAUCAGGUAUUUUCGUUUGAUCCCAAGUAGUAUGUACUGAGACAGAAGAAAUAGCCCCAUUUUACAGAAGAAGAAACCCAAAAUUGCAAGGAAUUUGCCUAAAGUCAUUAGAAAAUGUCUAAAAUAAGACUUUGACCCGGACUUUCUGAUUUCAAGCCCAGCGAUUCUUCUAACAGGCCAUAUUCUUUCACUUUUAUUAUCUUGACUUACGCAACAAAGGAGAUAAGCCAGGUACAUGUCAUUAAUCUUCCUAUGUAUGACAACUGAGACUCCAGGAGGUUAAAUGCCUUGCCUAAGAUUACCUGGGUGGUGGUAGAAGUGGUUUUCAAAACCAGAUCAUCUGAAUGGAAUCUAAGUCUUUCUGCUGUAUCACCUUGUUAAUGUGUCAGGAACUACCACCCCACCUUCCAAAACACAUACACACUCUCACUUUUAAUGCGGACCCAUCUUAGAAUAAACUAGUUAAGGACUGACUGCUGAACAUGAUCCAGAAACUUACUGUCAAAUUUUGCUUUUGAGACAUGCUUGUGUUGUGUGAAGUCUUUUUUUUUUUUUUUUUUUUUCGGUAUUGAUGAGGGAUCACUUUAAGAUUUAUUGGAUUUCGUUUGUUUUGUUUUGAGACAGGAUUUCACUCUUAUCACCCAGGCUGGAGUGGAGUGGCGUGAUCAUAGUUCACUUCAGCCUCGAACUCCUGGGCUCCAGCAAUCCUCCUGAGUAGCUGGGAAUAUAGGCAUGUGCCAAUACACCAGGCUAAUUUUAUAUAUAUUUUUAAAUUUUUAUAGAGAUGAAGGGGUCUCAGUAUGUUGCUCAGGCUGGUCUUGAACUCCUAGCCUCAAAUGGUCCUCCUGCAUUGGCCUCCCCAAAUACUGGGAUUACAAGCAUGAGCCACUGAGCCCAGCCUAUAAUUAUUCUAAAGAUUUCUUUCCUGUUUAUGUACAGAAUAUCUAACAGCUAUGCUUACCUUUAAAGCAGCGUUAUGAAUAUCCUUGUGAAUUCCUCAAGCUCAAGGGUCUUGUUUGCAUUUUGUAGAUAUAUCCGUAGAUAGAUCUUACCUAUCUCUGGCAGGUAACAUUAUCAUCAUGUUUUCCCUGUUUCUUGACACUUUGUGAAAGCAUUGUAGAAAUAAAAGAAGUCUUUAUUCUUUGACCUCUCUUAUGCUUUAUGAAUUCUGAAAAAUUGAGGGAGAUAAAAGGCAAUCUAUGCUUUACUGCUUUCCCUAAGUUUUGAGAAGCAGGCUUAAAAAAAUGCUUUAAAAAUUUUAGAAGCCAUAAUACACUGAAAAUAGGGAUCCCAGGUAGUUGAGGCAGACCAGGAUUCUUCUUUGACUCAGUCCUUUCACUGAAAAGACUGUAUUUACAUAUUUCUCUGAGUGUCCUAGAUUCAUAGACCCAAAUGACCUCUCUGAGCAUCAAGAUACAUGUAGAAGUUACUUCCUGAGGAUAAUAAAUAUGAAAAGAGAAUUAUCACUCUCUGCUUUCAGAAAUCACUUAAAAAGGAAGGGGGUGCUUUUCUCAUGAUGUUCCUGAGACAGAGUCCUUAUGUCACCUUGUAUUGGCAAAAAGAUCUGGGGCACUGUGUUUGACGAUAGCACUUCUUUGUUCCCCUCCCAAUAUAUUUACAGAAUAUAAUCCUCUUUUGCUUGCACUCAUUUCCAUAAUACGGAAAGUAAAUAAACCUUAUAUAACAUUUUAUGGUUAAGAACUACUUAGUCUUGUGUGUGGAACUUCAGCAAGAAGCAAAAGAAAAUUC